This 628-nucleotide ribosomal RNA is filed under the name uncultured fungus. RNAcentral describes it as "eukaryotic LSU rRNA". It matches the Rfam family "Eukaryotic large subunit ribosomal RNA", at positions 24 to 664 of the family's 3401-position model. The record is from RNAcentral. Lineage: Eukaryota; Fungi.
CCCGCUGAACUUAAGCAUAUCAAUAAGCGGAGGAAAAGAAACUAACAAGGAUUCCCCUAGUAACUGCGAGUGAAGCGGGAAAAGCUCAAAUUUAAAAUCUGGCGGUCUUUCGGCCGUCCGAGUUGUAAUCUGGAGAAGCGUUUAUCCGCGUUGGACCGUGUACAAGUCUUCUGGAAGGGAGCGUCAUAGAGGGUGAGAAUCCCGUCUUUGACACGGACUACCAAUGCUUUUGUGAUGCGCUCUCGAAGAGUCGAGUUGUUUGGGAAUGCAGCUCAAAAUGGGUGGUAAAUUCCAUCUAAAGCUAAAUAUUGGCGAGAGACCGAUAGCGAACAAGUACCGUGAGGGAAAGAUGAAAAGCACUUUGAAAAGAGGGUUAAACAGCACGUGAAAUUGUUGAAAGGGAAGCGCUUGCGACCAGACGUGCGCCGGGGUGCUCAGCGGGCGUUCUCGCCCGUGCACUCGCCCCGGCGCAGGCCAGCGUCGGUUUGGGUGGGGGGAUAAAGGCGUCUGGAAUGUGGCUCCUCCGGGAGUGUUAUAGCCAGGCGUGCCAUGCCUCCGCCUAGACCGAGGUACGCGUUCUGCAAGGACGCUGGCGUAAUGGUCUCCAGCGACCCGUCUUGAAACACGG